GAUGAACGCUGGCGGCGUGCCUAAUACAUGCAAGUCGAGCGAACGGACGAGAAGCUUGCUUUUCUGAUGUUAGCGGCGGACGGGUGAGUAACACGUGGAUAACCUACCUAUAAGACUGGGAUAACUUCGGGAAACCGGAGCUAAUACCGGAUAAUAUUUUGAACCGCAUGGUUCAAAAGUGAAAGACGGUCUUGCUGUCACUUAUAGAUGGAUCCGCGCUGCAUUAGCUAGUUGGUAAGGUAACGGCUUACCGAGGCAACGAUGCAUAGCCGACCCGAGAGGGUGAUCGGCCACACUGGAACUGAGACACGGUCCAGACUCCUACGGGAGGCAGCAGUAGGGAAUCUUCCGCAAUGGGCGAAAGCCUGACGGAGCAACGCCGCGUGAGUGAUGAAGGUCUUCGGAUCGUAAAACUCUGUUAUUAGGGAAGAACAUAUGUGUAAGUAACUGUGCACAUCUUGACGGUACCUAAUCAGAAAGCCACGGCUAACUACGUG
RNAcentral lists this ribosomal RNA (497 nucleotides) under uncultured bacterium. RNAcentral describes it as "partial 16S ribosomal RNA". It matches the Rfam family "Bacterial small subunit ribosomal RNA", at positions 28 to 507 of the family's 1533-position model. The record is from RNAcentral.